This 29-nucleotide ribosomal RNA is filed under the name Schizophyllum commune. RNAcentral describes it as "partial 18S rRNA". Lineage: Eukaryota; Fungi; Basidiomycota; Agaricomycetes; Agaricales; Schizophyllaceae. The record is from RNAcentral.
UCCGUAGGUGAACCUGCGGAGGGUCCAUU